Rhinolophus ferrumequinum (greater horseshoe bat) is the source of this 816-nucleotide RNA transcript. It is a transcript of the gene named IZUMO family member 4, with no coding region annotated. The record is from RefSeq and is a predicted model, not a curated record. NCBI's taxonomy places the organism in Eukaryota, Metazoa, Chordata, Mammalia, Chiroptera, Rhinolophidae. The transcript is spliced from 11 exons.
GUACAGCGGCUCGGCCAGGAUCUGGAGGGCGCCGUCGGUUGGUGCGCGGCGGACGGGGGCGGGUCAUGGCGCUGCUUCUGUGUCUGGGCCUGACCGCGGCGCUGGCCCGCGGCUGCCUUCAUUGCCACCGCAACUUCUCGGAGAAAUUCUCCUUCUACCGCCAUCACGUGAACCUCAAGUCCUGGUGGGUGGGCGACAUCCCCGUGUCGGGCUCGUUGCUCACCUACUGGAGCCAGGACACGAUGAAGGAGCUGCACCUAGCCAUCCCCGCGGAGAUCACCCGGGAGAAGCUGGGCCAAGUGGCGAACGCCGUAUACCAGAAAAUGGAUCAGCUGUACCAGGGGAAGAUGUAUUUCCCGGGGUAUUUCCCCAGCGAGCUUCGAGCCAUUUUCCGGGAGCAGGUGCACCUCAUCCAGAAUGCCAUCAUUGAAAUCCCUGGAGGUACCAGCCGUAUCGACUGUCAGCGUCACUGUGGCAUCUUCCAGUAUGAGACCAUCUCAUGCAUCAACUGCACGGACUCACAUGUCGUCUGCUUUGGCUACAACUGCGAGUCAUCGGUGCAAUGGGAGACAGCUGUGCAGGGCCUCCUCCUUUACAUAAAUAAUUGGCACAAACAGGACACCAACAUGAGACAUCACCUGUGCAACAUCCAUGUGAUCACUUCAUGAAUAAACAUGUCCUCCUCCUCGCCACCUGGAUGCCCAGUACCACUCCAGCCUUCCUGGUAUCACCAAGCUUCACAUGUCUAGAGCCCCCACACCUGGCCAACCUGACCCUGGAAACUGCUUCUGAGUGCCUGACGCAGCACUGACGGCC